Molecule: long non-coding RNA, 578 nt
Filed under: Homo sapiens (human)
Lineage: Eukaryota; Metazoa; Chordata; Mammalia; Primates; Hominidae
Description: HSALNT0338350
Source: RNAcentral
ACAGGGGUCAGAAGCCCCUGCUCUGAUGCCAGGAUAGUACGCGUCUCGUUGGACACAAGAUGAGAGAUUGGAGCAAAUGACAAGAAAAAGAGAAGGGGAGAAUUUUGAGUCAAGACUGUUUAUUUAAGGGAGACGUGUUUAAAUUGCAAGCGAUUGCAAUUGUGGAACUGACGAUUUUAAACAAAUUUUCCCAGCAUCCCCCUGAAGUAAAAGCUUGAAAAAUAAAGUCCACCUGGGUGGUGACUGUCAAGACAGGCCCUGCCCCGUGGGCACUGGCUGAGGAAUUUGGUGUAUUCCACACAUGCCGGAGUUUCCAAGGAGGAAACGUGUUUGAAGUCCAAAGAACAAGGACGGCCUCUGCUUGCUAAUCAGAAAAGAAGAAAUGCGUGAGGAUUGAAAUUGGCAACCAAUCUUUGAAAGCCUAGUAGACACCCGAUGCCUUCAACAUGUCUUAUAUGACCCUUGCCUCCAGCCUGUAAGGCUGGAGUGCAGUGGUGUGAUCUCAGCUCACUGAAACCUCCGCCUCCCGGAUUCAAGCAAUUCUCUUGCCUCAGCCUCCUGAGUAGCUGGGAUUACAG